AACUUUCAACAACGGAUCUCUUGGUUCUGGCAUCGAUGAAGAACGCAGCGAAAUGCGAUAAGUAAUGUGAAUUGCAGAAUUCAGUGAAUCAUCAAAUCUUUGAACGCACAUUGCGCCCUCUGGCAUUCCGGAGGGCAUGCCUGUUCGAGCGUC
This 153-nucleotide ribosomal RNA is filed under the name Phyllosticta aspidistricola. Its description in RNAcentral is "5.8S rRNA". It matches the Rfam family "5.8S ribosomal RNA". Rfam says of the family: 5.8S ribosomal RNA (5.8S rRNA) is a component of the large subunit of the eukaryotic ribosome. It is transcribed by RNA polymerase I as part of the 45S precursor that also contains 18S and 28S rRNA. Lineage: Eukaryota; Fungi; Ascomycota; Dothideomycetes; Botryosphaeriales; Phyllostictaceae. The record is from RNAcentral.